Molecule: ribosomal RNA, 429 nt
Filed under: Gemmatimonadota bacterium
Lineage: Bacteria; Pseudomonadati; Gemmatimonadota
Description: Gemmatimonadetes bacterium partial 16S ribosomal RNA
Rfam family: Bacterial small subunit ribosomal RNA
Source: RNAcentral
UAGGGAAUCUUCGGCAAUGGACGAAAGUCUGACCGAGCAACGCCGCGUGAGUGAAGAAGGUUUUCGGAUCGUAAAACUCUGUUGUUAGAGAAGAACAAGGACGUUAGUAACUGAACGUCCCCUGACGGUAUCUAACCAGAAAGCCACGGCUAACUACGUGCCAGCAGCCGCGGUAAUACGUAGGUGGCAAGCGUUGUCCGGAUUUAUUGGGCGUAAAGCGAGCGCAGGCGGUUUCUUAAGUCUGAUGUGAAAGCCCCCGGCUCAACCGGGGAGGGUCAUUGGAAACUGGGAGACUUGAGUGCAGAAGAGGAGAGUGGAAUUCCAUGUGUAGCGGUGAAAUGCGUAGAUAUAUGGGGGAACACCAGUGGCGAAGGCGGCUCUCUGGUCUGUAACUGACGCUGGGGCUCGAAAGCGUGGGGAGCAAACAGG